RNAcentral lists this ribosomal RNA (1542 nucleotides) under Escherichia coli. RNAcentral describes it as "bacterial SSU rRNA". It matches the Rfam family "Bacterial small subunit ribosomal RNA". The record is from RNAcentral. Lineage: Bacteria; Pseudomonadati; Pseudomonadota; Gammaproteobacteria; Enterobacterales; Enterobacteriaceae.
AAAUUGAAGAGUUUGAUCAUGGCUCAGAUUGAACGCUGGCGGCAGGCCUAACACAUGCAAGUCGAACGGUAACAGGAAACAGCUUGCUGUUUCGCUGACGAGUGGCGGACGGGUGAGUAAUGUCUGGGAAACUGCCUGAUGGAGGGGGAUAACUACUGGAAACGGUAGCUAAUACCGCAUAACGUCGCAAGACCAAAGAGGGGGACCUUCGGGCCUCUUGCCAUCGGAUGUGCCCAGAUGGGAUUAGCUUGUUGGUGGGGUAACGGCUCACCAAGGCGACGAUCCCUAGCUGGUCUGAGAGGAUGACCAGCCACACUGGAACUGAGACACGGUCCAGACUCCUACGGGAGGCAGCAGUGGGGAAUAUUGCACAAUGGGCGCAAGCCUGAUGCAGCCAUGCCGCGUGUAUGAAGAAGGCCUUCGGGUUGUAAAGUACUUUCAGCGGGGAGGAAGGGAGUAAAGUUAAUAGCUUUGCUCAUUGACGUUACCCGCAGAAGAAGCACCGGCUAACUCCGUGCCAGCAGCCGCGGUAAUACGGAGGGUGCAAGCGUUAAUCGGAAUUACUGGGCGUAAAGCGCACGCAGGCGGUUUGUUAAGUCAGAUGUGAAAUCCCCGGGCUCAACCUGGGAACUGCAUCUGAUACUGGCAAGCUUGAGUCUCGUAGAGGGGGGUAGAAUUCCAGGUGUAGCGGUGAAAUGCGUAGAGAUCUGGAGGAAUACCGGUGGCGAAGGCGGCCCCCUGGACGAAGACUGACGCUCAGGUGCGAAAGCGUGGGGAGCAAACAGGAUUAGAUACCCUGGUAGUCCACGCCGUAAACGAUGUCGACUUGGAGGUUGUGCCCUUGAGGCGUGGCUUCCGGAGCUAACGCGUUAAGUCGACCGCCUGGGGAGUACGGCCGCAAGGUUAAAACUCAAAUGAAUUGACGGGGGCCCGCACAAGCGGUGGAGCAUGUGGUUUAAUUCGAUGCAACGCGAAGAACCUUACCUGGUCUUGACAUCCACAGAACUUUCCAGAGAUGGAUUGGUGCCUUCGGGAACUGUGAGACAGGUGCUGCAUGGCUGUCGUCAGCUCGUGUUGUGAAAUGUUGGGUUAAGUCCCGCAACGAGCGCAACCCUUAUCCUUUGUUGCCAGCGGUCCGGCCGGGAACUCAAAGGAGACUGCCAGUGAUAAACUGGAGGAAGGUGGGGAUGACGUCAAGUCAUCAUGGCCCUUACGACCAGGGCUACACACGUGCUACAAUGGCGCAUACAAAGAGAAGCGACCUCGCGAGAGCAAGCGGACCUCAUAAAGUGCGUCGUAGUCCGGAUUGGAGUCUGCAACUCGACUCCAUGAAGUCGGAAUCGCUAGUAAUCGUGGAUCAGAAUGCCACGGUGAAUACGUUCCCGGGCCUUGUACACACCGCCCGUCACACCAUGGGAGUGGGUUGCAAAAGAAGUAGGUAGCUUAACCUUCGGGAGGGCGCUUACCACUUUGUGAUUCAUGACUGGGGUGAAGUCGUAACAAGGUAACCGUAGGGGAACCUGCGGUUGGAUCACCUCCUUA